This 1042-nucleotide ribosomal RNA is filed under the name uncultured bacterium. Its description in RNAcentral is "bacterial SSU rRNA". It matches the Rfam family "Bacterial small subunit ribosomal RNA", at positions 344 to 1397 of the family's 1533-position model. The record is from RNAcentral.
ACCGAUAGCAGUGAGAAAUAUUGGACAAUGGAUGGAAAUCUGAUCCAGCCAUGCCGCGUGCAGGAAGACGGCCCUAUGGGUUGUAGCUUUUGUAUGGGAGCAAUAAGGUCUAUGCGUAGACUGAUGAGAGUACCAUACGAAUAAGCAUCGGCUAACUCCGUGCCAGCAGCCGCGGUAAUACGGGGGAUGCAGGUUAUCCGGAUUUAUUGGGUUUAAAGGGUGCGUAGGCGGUUUGAUAAGUCAGCGGUGAAAUAUUUCAGCUUAACUGAAAGGGUGCCGUUGAUACUGUCAGGCUUGAAUAUGGUUGCUGUGGGUGGAAUGUGUGGUGUAGCGGUGAAAUGCUUAGAUAUCACACCGAAUAUCGAUUGCGAAGGCAGCUCACAAAGCCAUUAAUUUGACGCUGAUGCACGAAAGUGUGGGGAUCAAACAGGAUUAGAUACCCUGUAGUCACACUGUAAACGAUGAUAACUCGCUGUCGGCGAUACACAGUCGUAGCCAAGCGAAAGCGAUAAGUUAUCCCCCUGGGGAGUACGACAGCAAGGUUGAAACUCAAAGGAUUGACGGGCCCGGCACAAGCGGAGGAACAUGUGGUUUAAUUCCAUGAUACCCGAGGACCUUACCCGGCUUCGAACGGUGCAGGAAUACGUCAGAGAUGAUGUAGCUAGCAAUAGUCUGUAUCGAGGUGCUGCAUGGUUGUCGUCAGCCCGGGCCGUGAGGGCGGGCUUUAUGGCAAAUAACAAGCCCAACCCUUGCGUUUAUUGCCCUUCAGGUAAUGCUGGGAACUCUAGCGAGACUGCCACCGUAAGGUGUGAGGAAGGGGGGGAUGACGUCAAAUCAGCACGGCCCUUACGUCCGGGGCGACACACGUGUUACAAUGGUAGGUACAGAGGGCAGCUACCCAGCAAUGGGGUGCGAAUCUCAAAAGCCUAUCUCAGUUCGGAUCGGAGUCUGCAACUCGACUCCGKGAAGUUGGAUUCGCUAGUAAUCGCGCAUCAGCCAUGGCGCGGUGAAUACGUUCCCGGGCCUUGUACACACCGCAUCC